This 497-nucleotide ribosomal RNA is filed under the name uncultured bacterium. RNAcentral's name for it is "partial 16S ribosomal RNA". It matches the Rfam family "Bacterial small subunit ribosomal RNA", at positions 28 to 507 of the family's 1533-position model. The record is from RNAcentral.
GAUGAACGCUGGCGGCGUGCCUAAUACAUGCAAGUCGAGCGAACGGACGAGAAGCUUGCUUCUCUGAUGUUAGCGGCUGACGGGUGAGUAACACGUGGAUAACCUACCUAUAAGACUGGGAUAACUUCGGGAAACCGGAGCUAAUACUGGAUCAUAUUUUGAACCGCAUGGUUCAAAAGUGAAAGACGGUCUUGCUGUCACUUAUAGAUGGAUCCGCGCUUCAUUAGCUAGUUGGUAAGGUAACGGCUUACCAAGGCAACGAUGCAUAGCCGAUCUGAGAGGAUGAUCAGCCACACUGGAACUGAGACACGGUCCAGACUCCUACGGGAGGCAGCAGUAGGGAAUCUUCCGCAAUGGGCGAAAGCCUGACGGAGCAACGCCGCGUGAGUGAUGAAGGUCUUCGGAUCGUAAAACUCUGUUAUUAGGGAAGAACAGAUGUGUAAGAAACUGUGCACAUCUUGACGGUACCUAAUCAGAAAGCAACGGCUAACUACGUG